This 846-nucleotide long non-coding RNA is filed under the name Triticum aestivum (bread wheat). RNAcentral describes it as "long non-coding RNA (TAES_LNC003308)". The record is from RNAcentral. Lineage: Eukaryota; Viridiplantae; Streptophyta; Magnoliopsida; Poales; Poaceae.
UUCAAUCAAAGUAACAUAUAGGCCUCAUCCAAAAUUUUAAACUUCGUUUGAUAAACAUACAUACCGAAUACUUAUGUUUAGAUACAUAUACAUAUGAAUCAACCAUAUAAGGAUGUUGUGCCACAAAAGGAAAAUAACUUAUGUUUCUAAAUGUGCCACAACCAAAAUGAUCAUACAGUGGCUUAUGUGCCAAAACAAUCACCUAAAUGAGUACAGUAAUACUUGCCACCAUCUCCAGGUUCAACAAACAAGUCAUAUUACAUUAUAACAACAGCAACUUAAUUGUAGGUCUUCCAAACCUCCAGCUCCAACUUGUAGAUCUUCCAAACCUCGAUCAACUUGUGUAUCUUUGGGAAAUCUGCAACAAGUCGGAAACUCAAGCUACAUAGGCAUUAAUAAUUUCCACGAGAUAAUGAACAUUUCGAGACCUUAUCAUCUCAUUAUAUCUUCUAACACUCUGUUCUUCUUCUUCCAUCACCCACACUGCCGUUGCAUCUUCUAAUCUAUUGUCCAUGUCACUUUCUCCUGCCUUUUGUCAUUCUUUUUUCCGAAGAUAUGCACCCUCACACAAAAGCCUGAUUAAGAAAAUUGCACAAGAAUACCACUCAUACUUAUCUUAACAAAGAUAAACAGAAGUAUGGAAAGCACACAAAAAUAUGAGACGAUGGCUGCAGGUCAGAUAUAAUUCAGACUUGCUGUUGACAUCACUCCAAGAAAUAUUUGAACAAGCUAAAUGGCGUAAAUGCAUUAACAAAUUCUGUCUCUUCCUUUUACUGAUAAUUUUAAUAAAAAACUAAAUAUUUGCACUCAGUUCAAUUGCAUGACAUCCCACUCCAUUUUCUCAAU